This is a non-coding RNA of Notechis scutatus (mainland tiger snake), 885 nucleotides long. NCBI's taxonomy places the organism in Eukaryota, Metazoa, Chordata, Lepidosauria, Squamata, Elapidae. The record is from RefSeq and is a predicted model, not a curated record.
GGCUGAAAGUUAAUUCUUUCAAAACAAGAAUUAUAUGAAUAGAUUUUUAAUGUUAUGAACUACAGAUUAGUUAGCAAGGCAGAGAUAGCUAUUGAAUUAUAUAGAGACAGGGUAGAAAUGCUUUACGUGAGAUCUUUCAGAUCUUUUGUCAAUUCAGCUUUUUCUGUUUUUGAGCCCUUAAACAACAUUCCACAGGUCUCUGCCCCUGCUUAAAACAUCACUGGUAGCUGUUUUAUUAGAUAGUGAAUAUCCAAUAAGGUAUCAACUCAAUUUUGAGGAACAACAGUAAGAUUUUUUUCCUUAUGUGCGUGUGUAAGACUGCUAGGGUCUUGUCUAUUACAGAAGAUAACAAUGGGCGAUAACUAUAAUGUCCUUUUAUAAAAUUGCAUAGUAUUACCAUCUGAACGUUUUUCCUCCAACUAUAAAAUUGAUGCAGACCUGGAAAAUAAACAAUUUUGAAUAGAGCUUCAGCUCUUGUUUGCAAAGUGUAGAUGGGAGAAAACUAAGGUGUUUUUCAUUUUUUUCUCAGAGAUCGGGCUAACUUGUUUCUCGAGCACAAUUAACUAUCAAUAAAUCUUUUAGCAUGUGCUUAACUUAAUAAAACAUGUUGCUUAGAAUGUUCAAAAGAAAUUUUAUAAAUUACUUUAUUAUGAAGCCAAAUAAGGUCAUAUUGUGAUUUUUCCUAAUAUCAUUAAGUUUAGUAAUUCAGAGGUUAUCAUUGAAAGCUUUCAUAUAUCUCAUCAUCAUUAAAUACCUGAACUUCAAUAUGCAAAGUUUGUAAUUUCUGGGAAAACAACAAGCACAUUUAUUAAACAGUCUUGGUUGCAUGGCAUUUAAUGCCUCAAGCCUCUUUUUACCAUAUUAAAUUCUGUCCAGUUAUAAAUA